Molecule: long non-coding RNA, 291 nt
Filed under: Lathyrus oleraceus (garden pea)
Lineage: Eukaryota; Viridiplantae; Streptophyta; Magnoliopsida; Fabales; Fabaceae
Description: Pisum sativum (pea) long non-coding RNA (PSAT_LNC029787)
Source: RNAcentral
UGUGAACGAUGCGUCGAGGAAAGGUUGGAAAGGUUGUUGGGGUGUUUGGUAGAGAUAGGGUUGUUGGAUGUUUUGGUUUUGUGAUGUUUGGGCUUCUUGGUUACGGUAGGAGGAGGGGCGGUUAGUGUUGAAUGAUCGUUGGGUAUUCUGGCUUAGGCGACUUUGGUAGGGUGAUGGGGUGGGUGCGAAGCGAUGUUAAGUCUCAGGUUGAUGGUCAAUUUGUUGCUGGUGGUAUGAGGUAUGCUCUUGGUAUUGGGGUUGGGUGUAUGGAAUGUUUUGGUUGUAUGUUUG